UUUUGCUUGAAGAGUCUUGUUGCUAUACACUGCGAUUUGUUGCCGUCAUUUUACGACUGUGUUUGCCUCACCAAAGUGUUUCCUUGUCGCCUGCAGGUUAUCUUGACGAACUCUUGAGCCUGUAUUGAGAUUACAAGGAGUGUUUGCAAGAGUAACACCUGACUCAAGCUCCGCCAGCCUCAGCCCAAGAUGCAUUGAAAGCUGUUCUGAUCUCAGCCUUAGCUACAGCGAUGACAAGCUCAGCCAAACCACAAGCUCCACUAGUCUUGUUUCUGUCCAUCCGUCAGAGAGCAUCAUCUGUAUCAGCAGCUCGGAGAGUGUCAUUUCCAUCAGCAGCUCAGAGAGCGUCAUCUCCAUUACCAGCUCACACUCUGUCAUUUCUGUUGCCAGCUCAUCUUCAUGUGAUGAGGCAUCAGCACAGGCCUUCACCAACCCAUCCCAGCCUUCUCCCUCCCUGCCUGUCAAUCUGCAGACCCUGUUCUACCAUGACCUGCCCUACUAUCAGUGGACCUCCUUCUCCAACCCAGCCAGCCCCUCCAUCAGCUUCACUGACCUCCUCCUCCCUGCUACAUCUGUCAGCUGUUCUGAGACCCCGCUCACUGAGAUCCCAUGCUGCAGCUCCUCCAACUACUCUCCUGUGACUGGAUCCAUGCUUGUCAUCAGGGAUGUGGCAGACAGAAAGAGGAAGAGAGAUGAUGGUGGGGAUGACGACGAUGAUGAUGGAUUGCCUCUAAAGAGGCAGUGUCAGUAAGUGGGUUGACUGGUAAGUUGGUUCAACAGGUACCAGUUAAACAUUCUGUUGAGCCCAUAUUCUAUACAUUGUACAUACUCAUUAUUAUCUUGUCAUAUCCGUUUAAGUCCAUACUAUUUCCUGCUCAGCAUCUAUCUUGCCCUAUCCUGUUUUUAUUCCCCUCUGUCCUGUUUCAGUAUUGGUACUCGCCUACCAUCAAAACACAUGUAUUUUCAGUUCUAACUCCAACCCCUAUUUUCCCCAAAACAUUAUAUUUUCUUAUAACAAUACACUUGUCAAUGAUCAUUUUACGUUUCAGAAGGGAAUACAACGUGUGUAAUUAGUUAAAAUUUAGUUAAAAGUUAUGAUUUAGAGUUUAGUAUAAAGGAAUAAAUUAUUGUAAUGAAUAACGACAUUUUAAAAACUAAGUUUAAAAUGUAAAAUUAAAAAGUCAAAUUGAGAAACAUCAACAUAAAGAAUAUAUGAAUGUCAUAGAUAAUAUAGAAAUUGGAACAUUUGGAUGAAUAACUAAACUUGUCAUCACACUUGUCUAAGACGCUAGAAUAUGAUUUGAAUUGCCAGAAGGAUAUACAGUGUGUUUGUUGUUCAGAUUUUAGUACCCAGAUGAAUAAGUAUGAAUUAUUUCUUUUUAAAAGCUCAUUAAAUUAUUCAAUUAUUCUAAUGAAUAACAUGGAUGAUAGUUUAGACAUUCAGGUCGUAGUUAAAAGUAAUAUUUUGAUUAUUACUUAAUUGAGAAAUAUAAAAGGGAUAAACGUUCUCAUCAAAAUUGGGGAAAAGGACCGAUUAGCUGUAGUCAUCAGAUUUAAUUCAGGUUAUAGAGAGAUGGUUAAAAGUGACGUUUUGAUGAUUAAACUGCAGCAGAGUAAAGAGUGAGAAGGUUCUUUAUGGUAGUACUAAUAUAUAGGUGGAUACAUGGUGAUGCCACUUUUAAAGAAGAAAAGAAUAAACAUAAAAAUAAAUCAUUAUUUGAUUCUGACUUUUCAUAAUAUACAACAACAAAAAAUAGAUGUUAAGGAGUAACAUUUUAAUUAAACUUGGCAGAUGUAGGGGUAAACAGGUCUUAAUCAAUAGCUAGUGGUACAUACUACAUAGAUGGCAAAGAGUGAAGGUGAGAUAAAUAAGUAAACUUGGCACUGCAAGAGGUCAAAUCUUUGUAGUCAAUAACAAAAAAAAGAUAACAGAGAGAUGAUUAUAAUACCAUUUUUAAAAAUAAAUAAACAUCCGUAUUGUAAGGAGAAAACGCCACUUACAGAUUAGUGAUCGAUGACUACAAUCGUUCUUUUCAUAAGUAGGAGGGGCGGUCGGGUAGCCUAGUGGUUAAAGCGUUCGCUCGUCACGCCGAAGACCCGGGUUCGAUUCCCGACAUGGGUACAAUGUGUGAAGCCCAUUUCUGGUGUCCCCUCCGUGAUAUUGCUGGAAUAUUGCUAAAAGCUGCGUAAAACCAUACUCACUCACUCACUCAUAAGCAGGUGUUGUAAUAGGGGCGUGUUUAAAUUACUGAAUAACUAACAUCCGUAAUGUAGGGAGUAAAGACUUUCAGUUAGCGGCUGGUAAGGGGUGGCUGUAGGGGAGGAGGAGGCCACAUUAUAUAUAAUACGCUAUGUGUACACAACAGCCUAACAGGUUAUUGCAGGUAAUAGGUAUAAAAUAGCAAAGCUUAAUAUCUUAGUAUUUUUCUAAUUAUGCCUUUAUGUUUUGUAUAAUUUAGCAACAGACGGUUUAGUGUACCGCUAUGAAGUUCACACAAAAUAAAACACUUGUUUAUUUUGGACUGGUUAUUUCAUCAGAUUUAUGUACAAUAAAUGUUUAUAAACUUUGUUAUGUGUUUUGUGAUAUGUACAGUGGUGUUUAUUGCCACGACUGUUCAUGGAGUGAGAUUAUUGACGUGUAAGUUGA
Molecule: unclassified non-coding RNA, 2647 nt
Filed under: Haliotis rufescens (red abalone)
Lineage: Eukaryota; Metazoa; Mollusca; Gastropoda; Lepetellida; Haliotidae
Description: serine-rich adhesin for platelets-like, transcript variant X3
Rfam family: tRNA (bases 2051-2122)
Source: RNAcentral